RNAcentral lists this transfer RNA (75 nucleotides) under Planktothricoides sp. SpSt-374. RNAcentral describes it as "tRNA-Leu". It matches the Rfam family "tRNA". Rfam says of the family: Transfer RNA (tRNA) molecules are approximately 80 nucleotides in length. The record is from RNAcentral. RNAcentral also lists the same sequence under 1 other name. Lineage: Bacteria; Bacillati; Cyanobacteriota; Cyanophyceae; Oscillatoriales; Oscillatoriaceae.
GCUCCUGUGGCGAAAUUGGCAUACGCGGCAGACUUAAAAUCUGUUUUUUUGCGGGUUCAAAUCCCGCCAGGAGUA